Long non-coding RNA from Oncorhynchus keta (chum salmon), 543 nucleotides. RefSeq lists it as uncharacterized. NCBI's taxonomy places the organism in Eukaryota, Metazoa, Chordata, Actinopteri, Salmoniformes, Salmonidae. The record is from RefSeq and is a predicted model, not a curated record. The transcript has 3 exons.
ACAAGCAACAGGACAGUAUGAGAUGUGAGCUGCCUAAACCUUGCAGGUUAGAAUUAUAUCCAUUCAUAGCGACAGACAGGAGAGUGAGACAGACAGGAGAGUGAAACAGACAGGAGAGUGAGACAGUCAUGGUUAUUAAUUAGAACUAGCAGAGAGCAGCAGGCAAGCCUGGAAAACCCCAGAGUUGAAAAAACUAACGAAAUGAAAGAGGAACAAAAGAGGGGAAGAAAAAACAAGUUAGAGGAGACUGUUAGAGGAGACUGUUAGAGAUGACUGUUAGAGGAGACUGUUAGAGGAGACUGUUAGAGGAGACUGUUAGAGGAGACUGUUAGAGGAGACUGUUAGAGGAGACUGUUAGAGGAGACUGUUAGAGGAGACUGUUAGAGGAGACUGUUAGAGGAGACUGUUAGAGGUGACUGUUAGAGGAGACUGUUAGAGGAGACUGUUAGAGGAGACUGUUAGAGAUGACUGUUAGAGGAGACUGUUAGAGGAGACUGUUAGAGGUGACUGUUAAGAGGUGACUGUUUGGUGGCAUUGUGAAGU